This 1634-nucleotide ribosomal RNA is filed under the name Solenopharyngidae sp. NVS-2013. Its description in RNAcentral is "eukaryotic LSU rRNA". It matches the Rfam family "Eukaryotic large subunit ribosomal RNA", at positions 86 to 1508 of the family's 3401-position model. Lineage: Eukaryota; Metazoa; Platyhelminthes; Rhabdocoela; Solenopharyngidae. The record is from RNAcentral.
UCGGCGAGUGAACAGGAAUUAGCCCAGGCCGAAUCCCAAGGGGCAACCUGCGGGAAAUGUAGCUUUAAGGCAUUCUUAUUGUACCGUUGAGAGUUGAUUCUAAGUUCACUUGAUUGUGAGUUUCCACGGAGGGUGCAAGUCCCGUGUGGUUCAACUUGAAGUGGUUUUUGAAUGCUGUAGAGUCGGGUUGUUUGCGAGUGCAGCCCUAAUCAGGUGGUAAACUCCAUCUAAGGCUAAAUAAAACAUGAAACCGAUAGCCAACAAGUACCGUGAGGGAAAGUUGAAAAGAACUUUGAAGAGAGAGUUCAAUAGUACGUGAAAUCGUUUAGAGGUAAGCGGGUAGAGCUGAAGUGUGGCUUUGGAAAUUGAUUCAUUCUGUACAAAGGCAUUUGUAUCUGCAUUCGAUUUAUAGACGAGUGUGGGUAUUUAUAUGCUUGGGGAAUGGGUUGUUUUUCAUUGGCAUUCACUGUGAACUGUAUCUUGUAAUUAGCACGUGAAAUACCAGGUGGUUGUUGAACUCCGGUUUGACAAUUCUAUAGGAUUUCGCUGCUUGUAUUUGAGAUAUGGGGCUAUGCAGUACGAGUCCUGUAGGACGGUAUAAGCACAGUUUUUGGAUUCGGGUUUGUCUUGUGAGUCUGUAGACACCAUGAUAAUCCUGUCUCUGAAAGCAGCAGUGCCUCUAUACAGAGUACUCAUAUUCACGGUGACAAUAGUAAGUCUGUACCUGCCCCGUCUUGAAACACGGACCAAGGAGUUUAGCUUAUACGCGAGUCAUUGGGUUAUAUUAAACCUAAAGGCGAAGUGAAAGUAAAAGCUGACUUUAGUCAGCCUAGGUGUGAUCCGUGAUCGGACGCUUUUGCGAAUGUGAUCGGCGCAGCACCGGCUCAUGCGCAACUUUUUAAGUUGACUGAAGCUAGAGCGUAUAUGCUGAGACCCGAAAGAUGGUGAUCUAUGCUUGCAUAAGCUGAAGCCAUGGGAAACUCUGGUGGAGGGCUGUAACGGUUCUGACGUGCAAAUCGAUCGUUAAAUGUGAGUAUAGGGGCGAAAGACUAAUCGAACCAUCUAGUAGCUGGUUCCUGCCGAAGUUUCCCUCAGGAUAGCUAGUGCUCGGAAACCAAGUUUUAUCCGGUAAAGCGAAUGAUUAGAGGUAAUGGGGAUCACAGAUCCUCAACCUAUUCUCAAACUUUAAAUGGGUGAGAAGUUAGGCUCGUUUAAAUAGAGCCUGACAUGGAAUUUGAGUGCUAUGUGGGCCAUUUUUGGUAAGCAGAACUGGCGCUGCGGGAUGAACCGAAAUGACGGUUAAGGUGCCUAACAAGACACUCAUGAGAUACCACAAAAGGUGUUGGUUGAUUAUGACAGCAGGACGGUGGCCAUGGAAGUUGGAAUCCGCUAAGGAGUGUGUAACAACUCACCUGCCGAAUCAACCAGCCCUGAAAAUGGAUGGCGCUGGAGUGUCUGACCUAUACCGUCAUGUGAUCGGGAUUGAUAAUUAUCACCCGUCACAAGUAGGCAGGCGAUGUGGUAAGCGUUGAAGCCUUGGGCGUAAGCCUGGGUGGAGCUGCCACUUGUGCAGAUCUUGGUAGCAGUAGCAAUUAUUCAAGUGAGAACCUUGAAGGCCGAUGUGGAGAAGGGUA